Molecule: long non-coding RNA, 398 nt
Filed under: Mytilus galloprovincialis (Mediterranean mussel)
Lineage: Eukaryota; Metazoa; Mollusca; Bivalvia; Mytilida; Mytilidae
Source: RNAcentral
AUUUGUAAAAGUUCGAUUUGUAUUGUUUAUUUCAAAUUUAGCAAAAGUGCUUUUAAUCUGUUGUAUUUUGUAUCGUGUAUUCAUGAUGUUGGUUUAAAUCUUAUGAAAAAUAAACUAUUCUUGAUUGCUUCGUACAUAGAUCAGGUUUUGUCCUUUGAAUUGUCUUAUAUUGGCAUGCCGGGGCCGUUUACAGCUUUAUUGGGCUUUACCAGACAUGAUAGGUGAUAUGCGUUUCUUGUAUUGUUCUGACUUGGAUAUAGUCCUGAUAAAAGUAUCGUACAGACGGUAUAAGCGAGCGUUCUUUCUUGAAUAUAAAAAUUCUUAUUUCUGAUAUCAUGAACUGUUUGAGAAAGUUUUAGUUUUAAAGUUUGUAUGUUUUACGACAUGUAAGUUUACAU